RNAcentral lists this ribosomal RNA (504 nucleotides) under Juga nigrina. RNAcentral describes it as "partial large subunit ribosomal RNA". It matches the Rfam family "Bacterial large subunit ribosomal RNA", at positions 1816 to 2597 of the family's 2925-position model. The record is from RNAcentral. Lineage: Eukaryota; Metazoa; Mollusca; Gastropoda; Semisulcospiridae.
GGCUCUCUGCUUACAUAAAUAUAGAGAGUCGAGCCUGCCCAGUGAAUUUUUAAACGGCCGCGGUACUCUGACCGUGCAAAGGUAGCAUAAUCAUUUGCCUUAUAAUUGAAGGCUAGUAUGAAUGGUUUGACGAGAACAAUACUGUCUCCUUUUUAUUUUCAAGAACUUAACUUUUAGGUGAAGAGGCCUAAAUUUUAUUGAAGGACAAGAAGACCCUAUCGAGCUUAAAAGACAUUAUAGAAGUUUAUAUAUUUUUAAAUAAAUUUUCUAUUUAGCUUUUUAGUUGGGGCGACUAAGGAACAAAAAAAGCUUCUUGCUGAUAAUAAGCAGUCAUGUUUAGAUCCGAUAAUAAUCGAUCAAAGAAAUUAGUUACCGUAGGGAUAACAGCAUAAUCUCUCUUGAGAGACCUAAUCGAAAGAGGGGGUUGUGACCUCGAUGUUGGACUAGAAUAUCCUAAAGAUGCAGAAGUCUUUGAGGGUCGGUCUGUUCGACCGUUAAAAUUCU